UCCCUGGUGGUCCACUGGUUAAGAAACCAUGCUCCCAAUGCAGGAGGUCCAGGUUCGAUUCCUGGUCAGGGAA
This 73-nucleotide transfer RNA is filed under the name Bos taurus (domestic cattle). It matches the Rfam family "tRNA". From Rfam's summary of the family: Transfer RNA (tRNA) molecules are approximately 80 nucleotides in length. Their secondary structure includes four short double-helical elements and three loops (D, anti-codon, and T loops). Further hydrogen bonds mediate the characteristic L-shaped molecular structure. tRNAs have two regions of fundamental functional importance: the anti-codon, which is responsible for specific mRNA codon recognition, and the 3' end, to which the tRNAs corresponding amino acid is attached (by aminoacyl-tRNA synthetases). tRNAs cope with the degeneracy of the genetic code in two manners: having more than one tRNA (with a specific anti-codon) for a particular amino acid; and 'wobble' base-pairing, i.e. permitting non-standard base-pairing at the 3rd anti-codon position. RNAcentral also lists the same sequence under 5 other names. The record is from Rfam by way of RNAcentral. Lineage: Eukaryota; Metazoa; Chordata; Mammalia; Artiodactyla; Bovidae.